UUUGUACACACCGCCCCUCGCUACUACCGAUUGAAUGGCUCAGUGAGGCCUUCGGACUGGCCCAGGGAGGUCGGCAACGACCACCCAGGGCCGGAAAGUUGGUCAAACUCGGUCAUUUAGAGGAAGUAAAAGUCGUAACAAGGUCUCCGUAGGUGAACCUGCGGAGGGAUCAUUA
Molecule: ribosomal RNA, 175 nt
Filed under: Ramularia collo-cygni
Lineage: Eukaryota; Fungi; Ascomycota; Dothideomycetes; Mycosphaerellales; Mycosphaerellaceae
Description: partial 18S ribosomal RNA
Rfam family: Eukaryotic small subunit ribosomal RNA
Source: RNAcentral